UCUACGUCGGCGACCGGCGCACGGGUGCGUAACGCGUAUGCAACCUACCCAUUACAGGGGGAUAACACUGAGAAAUCGGUACUAAUACCCCAUAACAUCCAGGGAGGCAUCUUCUUGGGUUGAAAACUCCGGUGGUAAUGGAUGGGCAUGCGUUGUAUUAGUUAGUUGGUGGGGUAACGGCUCACCAAGACAACGAUACAUAGGGGGACUGAGAGGUUAACCCCCCACAUUGGUACUGAGACACGGACCAAACUCCUACGGGAGGCAGCAG
Molecule: ribosomal RNA, 271 nt
Filed under: uncultured bacterium
Lineage: Bacteria
Description: partial 16S ribosomal RNA
Rfam family: Bacterial small subunit ribosomal RNA
Source: RNAcentral